UACGUAGGGUCCAAGCGUUAUCCGGAAUCACUGGGCGUAAAGCGUGCGUAGGUGGAUUGUUAAGUGUAGUGCGAAAUCCUGUGGCUCAACCAUAUGGACUGUACUGCAUACUGGCAAUCUAGAGGACAUGAGAGGCAAGUGGAAUUACCGGUGUAGCAGUGAAAUGCGUAGAGAUCGGUAGGAACACCAAUGGCGAAAGCACUCUGCUGGGCCGACACUGACACUGAGAGACGAAAGCUAGGGGGAGCAAACAGG
This 255-nucleotide ribosomal RNA is filed under the name uncultured bacterium. Its description in RNAcentral is "partial 16S ribosomal RNA". It matches the Rfam family "Bacterial small subunit ribosomal RNA", at positions 524 to 776 of the family's 1533-position model. The record is from RNAcentral.